This is a long non-coding RNA of Ornithorhynchus anatinus (platypus), 301 nucleotides long. RefSeq lists it as uncharacterized. The record is from RefSeq and is a predicted model, not a curated record. Lineage: Eukaryota; Metazoa; Chordata; Mammalia; Monotremata; Ornithorhynchidae. The transcript has 3 exons.
CCGGUCCGGAGAGAAAAUGGCGGCGGCAGCGGCGCGGGCCGGGGCAGAAUUCCCCUAUAUUUUCUGUAAGAUGAACAUGUGUGUCAUCUGAUGUGAUUUAUUUCUAAGGAGAAUUCCAUCUCCUGUCAUUUUCCAUGAAGUAUGAAUGAAGGUCAAGAAAAAGAAGUGUUACCAAGAUUAGAGGCAUGUACCUCCAGUUUAGACUGAACCCGAAUUCCUGUUUGUAAUUUAGUGAACAAGAGAAUAUUACAUGUAACAUGUAAAUAAUACGAUCAAACAAUUAAAGCACUCUACCACCUUA